Molecule: long non-coding RNA, 504 nt
Organism: Aedes aegypti (yellow fever mosquito)
Lineage: Eukaryota; Metazoa; Arthropoda; Insecta; Diptera; Culicidae
Exons: 4
Source: RefSeq, a predicted model, not a curated record
ACUGUCAUUCGUAGUCAAAGUGAACUGUCAUAGCAUAUGUUUUGUUUAUCUUUGUGUACUUUAUGCUGUACGUUCGGAAAGUUUUAUUGAAGUGGUAAAGUAACGAAAGUGGCCUUUUCUGGAUUACAUGUAUUGGUGAAUGAAUUCAUUCAUUUGCGGGUUGUUGGGCUAUGGGACGGCAAUCUUCGUCGGGGAAGAUUGGUCCAUAGCCAACCCAUAAUGGUCACGGGACAACCGUGAUAACCAUCUUGCAGCUGCAAGAUGAAAUCAGAUUGGCCAAUCAACACAGUGGGCGAUCCCCUCUCGGCAACUCCGCAGGUGAGGAAAAUGAGGGUAUUUCUUCAUCCCUCGCUUCUUCCGCCGGUCCUGCUAGUCCCGAUAUUGAUCCCCGAGUUUAUUUAAGAUCAACCUUCAGCGGUGUUUGCCGUCGGCAAUCGGGGAUAAGUUUUACUCCCGCACCUCACCAAUUUCUUGGCAAACUGCCGAAGAAUUUGAAAUAAAAAA